ACAAGCGGUGGAGUAUGUGGUUUAAUUCGACGCAACGCGCAGAACCUUACCUAGACUUGACAUCCCGGGAUUUUCUGGAAACAGAGAAGUGCUUUAGCAAUAAAGAACCCGGUGACAGGUGCUGCAUGGCUGUCGUCAGCUCGUGUCGUGAGAUGUUGGGUUAAGUCCCGCAACGAGCGCAACCCUCGCCUUUAGUUGCCAGCAUUCAGUUGGGCACUUUAAAGAGACUGCCGGUGUUAAACCGGAGGAAGUGGGAUGACGUCAAGUCCUCAUGGCCUUUAUGCUUAGGGCUACACACGUGCUACAAUGGGUGGUACAAAGAGAAGCCAACUCGCGAGAGCGCGCCAAUCUCAAAAAGCCAUCCUCAGUUCGGAUUGGAGUCUGCAACUCGACUCCAUGAAGUUGGAAUCGCUAGUAAUCGCGGAUCAGCAUGCCCGCGGUCGAAUACGUUCCCGGGCCUU
RNAcentral lists this ribosomal RNA (461 nucleotides) under uncultured Smithella sp. Its description in RNAcentral is "bacterial SSU rRNA". It matches the Rfam family "Bacterial small subunit ribosomal RNA", at positions 925 to 1382 of the family's 1533-position model. Lineage: Bacteria; Pseudomonadati; Thermodesulfobacteriota; Syntrophia; Syntrophales; Smithellaceae. The record is from RNAcentral.